This 236-nucleotide long non-coding RNA is filed under the name Elaeis guineensis (African oil palm). RNAcentral's name for it is "long non-coding RNA (EGUI_LNC048517)". The record is from RNAcentral. Lineage: Eukaryota; Viridiplantae; Streptophyta; Magnoliopsida; Arecales; Arecaceae.
CAUAUGUAACAAAAAUCCCCCAACAUUGUUACAACAAUGACUGAACCUUAUUUGAUCCAGACCUCUGACCAGAUCCUUGAAACCCUUCAUUUCUGAUGUGGUGUAAUAUCUUAAGCUCUGAGGUAAGGUUUUCUGACUGAUUGUUCCCAGAUCUGAGCAGAUCUAGGUACAGUGAGUGAAGGAAAGGGAUUUCAGGUGGAUCUGAGAGAGAAAUAGAGAAGGAAGGGAAGAAUUCA